AACGCACAUUGCGCCCCUUGGCAUUCCGAGGGGCAUGCCUGUUCGAGCGUCAUUACAACCCCUCAAGCUCUGCUUGGUGUUGGGCAUCGCCAGUCUUGGUGUGCCUUAAAAUCAGUGGCGGUGCCAUCUGGCCCUCAGCAUAGUAGUAUUUCUCUUGCUAUAGGGACCUGGUAGGUGCCUGCCAUCUCAACCCCCUAGUUAUUAUCAAGGUUGACCUCGGAUCAGGUAGGGAUACCCGCUGAACUUAA
This 248-nucleotide unclassified non-coding RNA is filed under the name Megalaria sp. RNAcentral describes it as "partial contains 5.8S ribosomal RNA, internal transcribed spacer 2, and large subunit ribosomal RNA". Lineage: Eukaryota; Fungi; Ascomycota; Lecanoromycetes; Lecanorales; Megalariaceae. The record is from RNAcentral.